GAUGAACGCUGACAGAAUGCUUAACACAUGCAAGUCGAUGGGGAAGUGGUGCUUGCACCAUGGUAACCAUGGCGGACGGGUGAGUAACGCGUAAGGAACUUGCCUGCGGGACUGGGAUAACAGCAGGAAACUGCUGAUAAUACCUGAUAAGGUCAUUAAGCUGCAUAGCUUAGUGAUGAAAGGAGACGCCUGCGGAGAGCCUUGCGUCCUAUUAGCUAGUUGGAGGGGUAACGGCCCACCAAGGCGAAGAUAGGUAGCCGGCCUGAGAGGGUGGACGGCCACAAGGGGAAUGAGAUACGGCCCUUACUCCUACGGGAGGCAGCAGUGGGGAAUAUUGGACAAUGGGGGCAACCCUGAUCCAGCAAUUCUGUGUGCACGAAGACGGUUUUCGGAUUGUAAAGUGCUUUCAGCAGGGAAGAAGGAAGUGACGGUACCUGCAGAAGAAGCGACGGCUAAAUACGUG
RNAcentral lists this ribosomal RNA (463 nucleotides) under uncultured bacterium. RNAcentral's name for it is "partial 16S ribosomal RNA". It matches the Rfam family "Bacterial small subunit ribosomal RNA", at positions 28 to 507 of the family's 1533-position model. The record is from RNAcentral.